This 73-nucleotide transfer RNA is filed under the name Paramuricea clavata. It matches the Rfam family "tRNA". Rfam says of the family: Transfer RNA (tRNA) molecules are approximately 80 nucleotides in length. Their secondary structure includes four short double-helical elements and three loops (D, anti-codon, and T loops). Further hydrogen bonds mediate the characteristic L-shaped molecular structure. tRNAs have two regions of fundamental functional importance: the anti-codon, which is responsible for specific mRNA codon recognition, and the 3' end, to which the tRNAs corresponding amino acid is attached (by aminoacyl-tRNA synthetases). tRNAs cope with the degeneracy of the genetic code in two manners: having more than one tRNA (with a specific anti-codon) for a particular amino acid; and 'wobble' base-pairing, i.e. permitting non-standard base-pairing at the 3rd anti-codon position. Lineage: Eukaryota; Metazoa; Cnidaria; Anthozoa; Malacalcyonacea; Plexauridae. The record is from Rfam by way of RNAcentral.
GGCCUCGUGGCCAAAUGGAUAAGGUGUCUGUCUACGGAUCAGAAGAUUCCAGGUUCGAGUCCUGGCGAGGUCG